GAUGAACGCUGGCGGCGUGCUUAAGACAUGCAAGUCGAACGCAAUCCAAGUAGCAAUACUGGGGUUGAGUGGCGAAUGGGUGCGUAACACGUAGGUGACCUGCCCGAAAGUGGGGAAUAACAGUCCGAAAGGACUGCUAAUACCGCAUGUGAUGGUUGGGGUGAGAGCCCCGAUCUUCAAAGGUUCGCAAGAACCGCUUUCGGAGGGGCCUGCGGCCCAUCAGCUAGUUGGUUGGGUAACGGCCAACCAAGGCAACGACGGGUAGGGGACCUCAGAGGGUGGCCCCCCACACUGGCACUGACACACGGGCCAGACUCCUACGGGAGGCAGCAGUCGGGAAUAUUGCCCAAUGCGCGAAAGCGUGAGGCAGCAACGCCGCGUGCGCGAUGAAGGCCUUCGGGUCGUAAAGCGCUUUUCGGUGGGAUGAGGAAGGACAGUACCACCGGAAUAAGGGACGGUUAACUACGUGC
This 470-nucleotide ribosomal RNA is filed under the name uncultured bacterium. RNAcentral describes it as "bacterial SSU rRNA". It matches the Rfam family "Bacterial small subunit ribosomal RNA", at positions 28 to 508 of the family's 1533-position model. The record is from RNAcentral.